RNAcentral lists this transfer RNA (74 nucleotides) under Patescibacteria group bacterium. RNAcentral describes it as "tRNA-Trp". It matches the Rfam family "tRNA". From Rfam's summary of the family: Transfer RNA (tRNA) molecules are approximately 80 nucleotides in length. The record is from RNAcentral.
AGGAGUUUAGUUCAGUGGCAGAACAGCGGUCUCCAAAACCGCGGACGUGGGUUCGAUUCCCUCAACUCCUGCCA